AGUCGAGCGGACGGAUGGGAGCUUGCUCCCUGAAGUCAGCGGCGGACGGGUGAGUAACACGUGGGCAACCUGCCUGUAAGACUGGGAUAACUUCGGGAAACCGGAGCUAAUACCGGAUAAUGCACAGCCUCUCAUGAGGCUAUGCUGAAAGAUGGUUUCGGCUAUCACUUACAGAUGGGCCCGCGGCGCAUUAGCUAGUUGGUGAGGUAACGGCUCACCAAGGCAACGAUGCGUAGCCGACCUGAGAGGGUGAUCGGCCACACUGGGACUGAGACACGGCCCAGACUCCUACGGGAGGCAGCAGUAGGGAAUCUUCCGCAAUGGACGAAAGUCUGACGGAGCAACGCCGCGUGAGUGAUGAAGGUUUUCGGAUCGUAAAACUCUGUUGUCAGGGAAGAACAAGUGCCGGAGUAACUGCCGGCACCUUGACGGUACCUGACCAGAAAGCCACGGCUAACUACGUGCCAGCAGCCGCGGUAAUACGUAGGUGGCAAGCGUUGUCCGGAAUUAUUGGGCGUAAAGCGCGCGCAGGCGGUCUCUUAAGUCUGAUGUGAAAGCCCACGGCUCAACCGUGGAGGGUCAUUGGAAA
This 589-nucleotide ribosomal RNA is filed under the name Bacillus sp. CH153a_5R. Its description in RNAcentral is "bacterial SSU rRNA". It matches the Rfam family "Bacterial small subunit ribosomal RNA", at positions 60 to 632 of the family's 1533-position model. Lineage: Bacteria; Bacillati; Bacillota; Bacilli; Caryophanales; Bacillaceae. The record is from RNAcentral. RNAcentral also lists the same sequence under 2 other names.